GGAGAGAUGGCCGAGCGGCUGAAGGCGCGAUCCUUGAAAGAUCGAUUGGAUUUAAUUCAUCCAACGGGGGUUCAAAUCCCUCUCUCUCCG
RNAcentral lists this transfer RNA (90 nucleotides) under Oscillatoria sp. FACHB-1406. It matches the Rfam family "tRNA". From Rfam's summary of the family: Transfer RNA (tRNA) molecules are approximately 80 nucleotides in length. Their secondary structure includes four short double-helical elements and three loops (D, anti-codon, and T loops). Further hydrogen bonds mediate the characteristic L-shaped molecular structure. tRNAs have two regions of fundamental functional importance: the anti-codon, which is responsible for specific mRNA codon recognition, and the 3' end, to which the tRNAs corresponding amino acid is attached (by aminoacyl-tRNA synthetases). tRNAs cope with the degeneracy of the genetic code in two manners: having more than one tRNA (with a specific anti-codon) for a particular amino acid; and 'wobble' base-pairing, i.e. permitting non-standard base-pairing at the 3rd anti-codon position. The record is from Rfam by way of RNAcentral. Lineage: Bacteria; Bacillati; Cyanobacteriota; Cyanophyceae; Oscillatoriales; Oscillatoriaceae.